Molecule: ribosomal RNA, 229 nt
Filed under: uncultured bacterium
Lineage: Bacteria
Description: partial 16S ribosomal RNA
Rfam family: Bacterial small subunit ribosomal RNA
Source: RNAcentral
UGCGUAGGCGGAUUAAUAAGUCAGUGGUGAAAACCUGCAGCUUAACUGUAGAACUGCCAUUGAUACUGUUAGUCUUGGGUACGGUCAAGGUAGGCGGAAUGUGUAAUGUAGCGGUGAAAUGCUUAGAUAUUACACAGAACACCGAUUGCGAAGGCAGCUUACUGGACCAUUACUGACGCUGAGGCACGAAAGCGUGGGGAGCGAACAGGAUUAGAUACCCUGGUAGUCC